GACGAAGGUGACAACCGUUACUCGGAAUCACUGGGCAUAAAGCGCGCGUAGGUGGCUUGGUAAGUCCAUGGUGAAAUCCCUCGGCUCAACCGAGGAACAGCCGUGGAUACUGCCAAGCUUGAGUACGGGAGGGGUGAGUGGAACUCUGGGUGUAGCGGUGAAAUGCGUAGAUAUCCAGAGGAACGCCGGUGGCGAAAGCGACUCACUGGACCGUAACUGACACUGAGGCGCGAAAGCUAGGGGAGCAAACAGG
RNAcentral lists this ribosomal RNA (253 nucleotides) under uncultured bacterium. RNAcentral describes it as "partial 16S ribosomal RNA". It matches the Rfam family "Bacterial small subunit ribosomal RNA", at positions 524 to 776 of the family's 1533-position model. The record is from RNAcentral.